RNAcentral lists this ribosomal RNA (395 nucleotides) under uncultured bacterium. RNAcentral's name for it is "bacterial SSU rRNA". It matches the Rfam family "Bacterial small subunit ribosomal RNA", at positions 362 to 771 of the family's 1533-position model. The record is from RNAcentral.
UAUUGCACAAUGGGGGAAACCCUGAUGCAGCAACGCCGCGUGAAGGAAGACGGUUUUCGGAUUGUAAACUUCUAUCAAUAGGGAAGAAAGAAAUGACGGUACCUAAAUAAGAAGCCCCGGCUAACUACGUGCCAGCAGCCGCGGUAAUACGUAUGGUGCAAGCGUUAUCCGGAUUUACUGGGUGUAAAGGGAGCGUAGACGGAUAGGCAAGUCUGGAGUGAAAACCCAGGGCUCAACCCUGGGACUGCUUUGGAAACUGCAGAUCUGGAGUGCCGGAGAGGUAAGCGGAAUUCCUAGUGUAGCGGUGAAAUGCGUAGAUAUUAGGAGGAACACCAGUGGCGAAGGCGGCUUACUGGACGGUGACUGACGUUGAGGCUCGAAAGCGUGGGGAGCAA